AUGAGGCGGUAUUGUUUGAGGAAAGGAAACAAUUGACAUCUACAGUCUAAAUAGUGUUGGAAGAAAGCAAGUAUUUCCAAGUUAACAAGAGUAUCAUCAUCAACAUCAAGUAAUACAAACCUCUGAGGUCACAGAGGUGGAUUCUUUACCUGCUGAACCAUCAGGGAAUCCCCUUAUCCGAGCUGUCAUACACUUUGAUG
Long non-coding RNA from Bubalus bubalis (water buffalo), 200 nucleotides. RefSeq lists it as uncharacterized. The record is from RefSeq and is a predicted model, not a curated record. The transcript has 2 exons. Lineage: Eukaryota; Metazoa; Chordata; Mammalia; Artiodactyla; Bovidae.